CACUGCCGUUGUACCCUUGAGCAAGGUACUUAACCGAAAUUGCUCCAGUAUAUAACCAGCUGUAUAAAUGGAUACAAUGUAAAAUGCUAUGUAAAAGUUGUGUAAGUCGCUCUGGAUAAGAGCGUCUGCUAAAUGCCUGUAAUGUAAUGUAAUAUAAUGAAGGAAGGAAGUGUAAACCCACACACAGAUGUGUGUUGAACACGUGUGACUUGCACACCUACGCACAGACACGUGUUCAAUGUGAGAAAGCCAUUUUAAUGUUCGCAAUUUCUACGGUUUUGUUUUUGGCUUGGUUUGUCAGUUUUGUUAUUUGCUCCAUCAAUUCCUAUGUCAGCAAGCAUACCAAACUCGGCACAUGGCACUUCAGGAGAGAAUUGUAUCUACAGCACAGUGGGCCAAAUCCCAGUUACUCUGGGAGCUCCUCAACCAGUGACCACAGAGAAGAGUGGACAAAGCUCACAUCCCUACAGACGGGCUGCAGUGUGUCUGGGGCUGCUCUGUGCUCUCUUAUUGGCUGCCACAUUAGUCCUGUGUGUCCUUUGUGAGUAUCACACACUGCCUGUGUGUAUGUCUUUAUUGGAAAUAUAGCUGAACUGUGAUUUUAAAGUAAACAUUUUAACUUUUUAUUUGCUAUGUAAACUGUCAAUCUGCUGUAUAACCAAUGUGUCUGAGUGG
This is a long non-coding RNA of Anguilla rostrata (American eel), 675 nucleotides long. RefSeq lists it as uncharacterized. The record is from RefSeq and is a predicted model, not a curated record. The transcript is spliced from 3 exons. Lineage: Eukaryota; Metazoa; Chordata; Actinopteri; Anguilliformes; Anguillidae.